CGCUGCCUGCAGAGCCAAAGGGCCUGUUUGUUUUUGCUGUUACUUAUCAGAAAGGUUUAUUUGCAAUUGUUUGAGGGGGGGGGGGAAACCCCUGUGUAGCCACAGGCAGACAAGCUCAGUGCUCAGGAACAUAAUGGCUGGAGCCCGCGGGCCCAUAUGCUCGCCAUCCUGGGAGGUGGAAGGCCAGCUCUGAUCACAUCCAGCUGCUCAGGAUACGACUGAUCAGGUCCUCACUACCAUGUUUUUGGGCAAGAUACUUUUAGAAGAACACCUCAACCAGAUCAUGCUCUCAAAGACCCGAGCCUUCACUGAUGGCAGGCAAUAAUUUUGCAUUUUGGAGUAUCUUCUUACUCUUAUGCAUGGCAACAUUUAACAGCACACCACCAUCUGCCACAGAAGCACAGACCACUAAUGGCAUCAUAAGAAUAACUUUGCCAGACCAUGGCUUGUGCAGCCUCCCCUGGAUCCACUCCUGGGUGAAUUCACAUCCCAUCAUCUCCUGGAUUUGGGCUGGGGAGAGGAAGG
This 525-nucleotide long non-coding RNA is filed under the name Manacus vitellinus (golden-collared manakin). RNAcentral describes it as "lncRNA (ENSMVIG00005006863.1)". Lineage: Eukaryota; Metazoa; Chordata; Aves; Passeriformes; Pipridae. The record is from RNAcentral.